Molecule: long non-coding RNA, 445 nt
Organism: Pomacea canaliculata
Lineage: Eukaryota; Metazoa; Mollusca; Gastropoda; Architaenioglossa; Ampullariidae
Exons: 2
Source: RefSeq, a predicted model, not a curated record
GCGACGCUCAAUGGCGUUGUCGGCAGCUCAGAAGUUUAGGUUGUAGAUUCGCUCGACGCAAGAAGUAAGCAGAUCACAGUGAGUAGUUACCUUCGACACAGCUCUAAAAUUAGCCGACCUCGAUAGCAGGUUGUUUUGUGAGCGAAGUAAAGUGUUUUUUUCCGUCGUGUCACACAGCGUACGGUGAUAAGACAAACAUGGCGGCGUGGAGGGCGACUGCCCGACUACAUGUCAGUGUCAGGCUAAUUUUGGAGAAGUCGUGAGGAAAACGUUGUUUUCUGAAGAUGAAGGAAGUUUCAGUUAAAGAACAGAAAGACGGGGAAUAGAGAUGGAUUUCCUCGCCUAAAAAAGGCUCAACUGACAGAUUUUACAGGAGAGACUCCCUCCUGUAGAAGGAAACUCACUGUCAACUAUGUCCGGUCAUCCGCGGUCUGCUUCACGAAAG